This 368-nucleotide ribosomal RNA is filed under the name uncultured organism. Its description in RNAcentral is "bacterial SSU rRNA". It matches the Rfam family "Bacterial small subunit ribosomal RNA", at positions 526 to 896 of the family's 1533-position model. The record is from RNAcentral.
CGUAGGUGGCAAGCGUUGUCCGGAUUUAUUGGGUUUAAAGGGUGCGUAGGUGGCCCUGUAAGUCAGUGGCGAAAUAUCUCAGCUUAACUGAGAGGGUGCCAUUGAUACUGCAGGGCUUGAGUACAGAUGAGGUAGGCGGAAUUGACGGUGUAGCGGUGAAAUGCAUAGAUAUCGUCAAGAACACCGAUAGCGAAGGCAGCUUACCAAGCUGUAACUGACACUGAGGCACGAAAGUGUGGGGAUCAAACAGGAUUAGAUACCCUGGUAGUCCACACUGUAAACGUUGAUGACUCGAUGUUGGCGAUACACAGCCAGCGUCCAAGAGCAAUCGUUAAGUCAUCCACCUGGGGAGUACGCCGGCAACGGUG